CCUACGGGUGGCUGCAGUGGGGAAUAUUGCACAAUGGGGGAAAGCCUGAUGCAGCGACGUCGCGUGAGGGAUGAAGGACCUCGGUAUGUAAAGCUCUUUUAGCAGGGACGAAAAUGACGGCACCUGACGAAGAAUAACCGGCGAACUACGGGCCAGCAGCCGCGGUAAUACGUAGGGGGCAAGCGUUAUCCGGAUUUACUGGGGGUAAUGGGAGCGUAGACGGCGGGGCAAGUCAGAUGUGAAAGCCCGGGGCUCAACCCCGGGAGUGCAUUUGAAACUGUGGUGCUUGAGUGUUGGAGAGGCAGGCGGAAUUCCGAGUGUAGCGGUGAAAUGCGUAGAUAUUAGGAGGAACACCAGUGGCGAAGGCGGCCUGCUGGACGUUGACUGACGCUGAGGCGCGAAAGCGUGGGGAGCAAACAGGAUUAGAUACCCCUGUAGUC
This 440-nucleotide ribosomal RNA is filed under the name uncultured bacterium. RNAcentral's name for it is "partial 16S ribosomal RNA". It matches the Rfam family "Bacterial small subunit ribosomal RNA", at positions 338 to 795 of the family's 1533-position model. The record is from RNAcentral.